GUGAGGAAUAUUGGACAAUGGAUGGAAAUCUGAUCCAGCCAUGCCGCGUGCAGGAAGACGACCCUAUGGGUUGUAAACUGCUUUUAUACGGGAGCAAUAAGGUCUAUGCAUAGAUUGAUGAGAGUACCGUAUGAAUAAGCAUCGGCUAACUCCGUGCCAGCAGCCGCGGUAAUACGGAGGAUGCGAGCGUUAUCCGGAUUUAUUGGGUUUAAAGGGUGCGUAGGCGGCUUUGUAAGUCAGCGAUGAAAUUUUGCAGCUUAACUGUAAAAGCGCCGUUGAUACUGUGAAGCUAGGAUUUGGUUGCUGUGGGCGGAAUGUGUGGUGUAGCGGUGAAAUGCAUAGAGAUCACACAGAAUAUCGAUUGCGAAGGCAGCUCACAAAGCCAAUAUUGACGCUGAGGCACGAAAGUGUGGGGAUCAAACAGGAUUAGAUACCCGUGUAGUCC
Molecule: ribosomal RNA, 445 nt
Filed under: uncultured bacterium
Lineage: Bacteria
Description: partial 16S ribosomal RNA
Rfam family: Bacterial small subunit ribosomal RNA
Source: RNAcentral